UCAUCGGUCCAACGGGCAGGGGGACGCCC
This 29-nucleotide small RNA is filed under the name Bombyx mori (domestic silkworm). RNAcentral describes it as "ovarian small RNA-26120". The record is from RNAcentral. Lineage: Eukaryota; Metazoa; Arthropoda; Insecta; Lepidoptera; Bombycidae.